Molecule: ribosomal RNA, 292 nt
Filed under: uncultured prokaryote
Description: partial 16S ribosomal RNA
Rfam family: Bacterial small subunit ribosomal RNA
Source: RNAcentral
GUGUCAGCAGCCGCGGUAAUACGAGGGGAGCUAGCGUUAUUCGGAAUUACUGGGCGUAAAGCGCACGUAGGCGGCUUUGUAAGUUAGAGGUGAAAGCCCGGGGCUCAACUCCGGAAUUGCCUUUAAGACUGCAUCGCUUGAAUCCAGGAGAGGUGAGUGGAAUGCCGAGUGUAGAGGUGAAAUUCGUAGAUAUUCGGAAGAACACCAGUGGCGAAGGCGGCUCACUGGACUGGUAUUGACGCUGAGGUACGAAAGCAUGGGGAGCAAACAGGAUUAGAUACCCCCGUAGUCC